ACUGGGUUUCAAUUUUCCUCGUUCACCCUAACUAACCGAAUAUCCUUUAAAACACGUUAAUUUUAAAUAAAGGCAAGCUUAUUCUCAAGUUCGAAAUGUCGUGUCCUAACUUACUGGACAUGGUGUUUUAUUACUUCGAGACAAAAAGGUCUUUAACAUUUGAGCAUUUUUUUUGCAAAAAGGGAUCGUAUUUCAAAGUCUUCCAAGUUUUCAAGUUUUCGACAACAAAGACACUAAUUAAUCAACUAGGUACCAAUUUUGGACGUUGCAAGGGUGCUAAUCCUUCCUCGUGCGUAACCGACUCC
Molecule: long non-coding RNA, 305 nt
Filed under: Gossypium barbadense (sea-island cotton)
Lineage: Eukaryota; Viridiplantae; Streptophyta; Magnoliopsida; Malvales; Malvaceae
Description: long non-coding RNA (GBAR_LNC013020)
Source: RNAcentral